UACGGGGGGGGCAAGCGUUGUUCGGAAUUACUGGGCGUAAAGGGUUUGUAGGUGGCUUGCUAAGUCAGACGUGAAAUCCCUCAGCUUAACUGGGGAACUGCGUCUGAUACUGGCGAGCUUGAGUGCAGGAGAGGAACGCGGAAUUCCAGGUGUAGCGGUGAAAUGCGUAGAUAUCUGGAGGAACACCGGUGGCGAAGGCGGUGUUCUGGACUGCAACUGACACUGAAAAACGAAAGCCAGGGGAGCAAACGGG
RNAcentral lists this ribosomal RNA (253 nucleotides) under uncultured bacterium. Its description in RNAcentral is "partial 16S ribosomal RNA". It matches the Rfam family "Bacterial small subunit ribosomal RNA", at positions 524 to 776 of the family's 1533-position model. The record is from RNAcentral.